This 306-nucleotide ribosomal RNA is filed under the name uncultured soil bacterium. RNAcentral describes it as "bacterial SSU rRNA". It matches the Rfam family "Bacterial small subunit ribosomal RNA", at positions 26 to 334 of the family's 1533-position model. The record is from RNAcentral.
AGAUUGAACGCUGGCGGCAGGCCUAACACAUGCAAGUCGAGCGGCAGCACGGGUACUUGUACCUGGUGGCGAGCGGCGGACGGGUGAGUAAUGCCUAGGAAUCUGCCCUGAUAGUGGGGGAUAACGUUCGGAAACGGACGCUAAUACCGCAUACGUCCUACGGGAGAAAGUGGGGGAUCUUCGGACCUCACGCUAUCAGAUGAGCCUAGGUCGGAUUAGCUAGUUGGUAGGGUAAAGCCUACAAGGCUACGAUCCGUAACUGGUCUGAGAGGAUGAUCAGUCACACUGAACUGAGACACGGUCCAG